Non-coding RNA from Otolemur garnettii (small-eared galago), 266 nucleotides. The record is from Rfam. Lineage: Eukaryota; Metazoa; Chordata; Mammalia; Primates; Galagidae.
GCUGGAUGCGGUGGCCCGCACCAUAGUCCCAGCUACCCAGGAGCUGGAAUUUGAGUCCAGGAAUUCUGAGCUGUAGUAUGGUAUGCUGAUCGAGUGUCAGCAUCAAUAUGGUGACCUCCUGGGAGUUUGGGGCCACCAGGUUGCCUAAGGAGGGGUGAACAGGCCCAGGUUGGAAACAGAGCAGGUCAAAACUCCCAUGCUGACCAGUAGUGGGAUCGUGCCUGUGAAUAGCCACUGCACUCUAGCCUGGGCAACAGGGAGACCCU